GAUGAAGAACGUAGCGAAAUGCGAUAAGUAAUGUGAAUUGCAGAAUUCAGUGAACCAUCGAGUCUUUGAACGCACAUUGCGCCCCCUGGUAUUCCGGGGGGCAUGCCUGUCCGAGCGUCAUUGCCGCCCUCAAGCACGGCUUGUGUGUUGGGCCCCCGCCCCCCGGCUUCGGGGGGCGGGCCCGAAAGGCAGCGGCGGCACCGCGUCCGGUCCUCGAGCGUAUGGGGCUUCGUCACCCGCUCUGUAGGCCCGGCCGGCGCCCGCCGGCGACCCCAAUCAAUCUUUCCAGGUUGACCUCGGAUCAGGUAGGGAUACCCGCUGAACUUAAGCAUAUCAAUAAGCGGAGGA
This 348-nucleotide unclassified non-coding RNA is filed under the name soil metagenome. RNAcentral describes it as "partial contains 5.8S ribosomal RNA, internal transcribed spacer 2, and large subunit ribosomal RNA". The stretch from base 1 to 120 matches the Rfam family "5.8S ribosomal RNA", at positions 35 to 154 of the family's 154-position model. The record is from RNAcentral.